Molecule: ribosomal RNA, 501 nt
Filed under: uncultured bacterium
Lineage: Bacteria
Description: partial 16S ribosomal RNA
Rfam family: Bacterial small subunit ribosomal RNA
Source: RNAcentral
AUUGAACGCUGGCGGCAGGCUUAACACAUGCAAGUCGAGCGGGGGAAGGUAGCUUGCUACUGGACCUAGCGGCGGACGGGUGAGUAAUGCUUAGGAAUCUGCCUAUUAGUGGGGGACAACAUCUCGAAAGGGAUGCUAAUACCGCAUACGUCCUACGGGAGAAAGCAGGGGAUCUUCGGACCUUGCGCUAAUAGAUGAGCCUAAGUCGGAUUAGCUAGUUGGUGGGGUAAAGGCCUACCAAGGCGACGAUCUGUAGCGGGUCUGAGAGGAUGAUCCGACACACUGGGACUGAGACACGGCCCAGACUCCUACGGGAGGCAGCAGUGGGGAAUAUUGGACAAUGGGGGGAACCCUGAUCCAGCCAUGCCGCGUGUGUGAAGAAGGCCUUAUGGUUGUAAGGCACUUUAAGCGAGGAGGAGGCUACUCUGGUUAAUACCUAGGGAUAGUGGACGUUACUCGCAGAAUAAGCACCGGCUAACUCUGUGCCAGCCGCCGCUGUAA